Molecule: ribosomal RNA, 279 nt
Filed under: uncultured bacterium
Lineage: Bacteria
Description: partial 16S ribosomal RNA
Rfam family: Bacterial small subunit ribosomal RNA
Source: RNAcentral
UGCCAGCCGCCGCGGUAAUACAGAGGGCUCGAGCGUUAAUCGGAAUCACUGGGCUUAAAGCGUGCGUAGGCGGACUCGCAAGCAUUAUGUGAAAUCCCACGGCUCAACCGUGGAACUGCAUAAUGAACUGCGAGUCUUGAGGUCGGUAGAGGUUGUCGGAACUCUAGGUGGAGCGGUGAAAUGCGUAGAUAUCUAGAGGAACGCCUAAGGUGAAGACAGGCAACUGGGCCGAUCCUGACGCUGAGGCACGAAAGCGUGGGUAGCGAACGGGAUUAGAUA